RNAcentral lists this ribosomal RNA (456 nucleotides) under uncultured bacterium. RNAcentral describes it as "bacterial SSU rRNA". It matches the Rfam family "Bacterial small subunit ribosomal RNA", at positions 28 to 482 of the family's 1533-position model. The record is from RNAcentral.
GAUGAACGCUAGCGGCAGGCUUAACACAUGCAAGUCGAGGGGUAGAGGAAGCUUGCUUCCUUGAGACCGGCGCACGGGUGCGUAACGCGUAUACAAUCUACCUUUUACAGAGGGAUAGCCCCAGAGAAAUUUGGAUUAAUACCUCAUAGUAUUUUCGGAUCGCAUGAUUUGAUUAUUAAAGUUCCAACGGUAAAGAUGAGUAUGCGUCCCAUUAGCUAGAUGGUAAGGUAACGGCUUACCAUGGCAAUGAUGGGUAGGGGUCCUGAGAGGGAGAUCCCCCACACUGGUACUGAGACACGGAUCAGACUCCUACGGGAGGCAGCAGUGAGGAAUAUUGGACAAUGGCGGCAAGCCUGAUCCAGCCAUGCCGCGUGCAGGAAUAAGGUCCUAUGGAUUGUAAACUAGCUUUAUUACAAGAAGAAACACUCCCUCGUGAGGGAACUUGACGGUACUGUA